Molecule: long non-coding RNA, 807 nt
Filed under: Citrus sinensis (sweet orange)
Lineage: Eukaryota; Viridiplantae; Streptophyta; Magnoliopsida; Sapindales; Rutaceae
Description: long non-coding RNA (CSIN_LNC001812)
Source: RNAcentral
UUCCUGCACUCCAAUCAAAGAGAUACCAGUAAAUCGUCAACAUCAAUUCGGCUAUGUCUAAAAGCAAACCAACUCCAAGCUAACGCCUAGUCAAUUUUUGUCCAGUUAAUUGCACAUGUAACACGAAUGGCCAGCAAAACUUGGUUCCUUAUAUAUAAUUUGGAAUAUAAAUCUCCAAUCUCAAAACCUAAUUUACAAUCCAAAAUUGUUGUAUCAAACCAUUAGAAACUUGCACCAAGAUUAUAAGUUUUCUUACGUGACAUGAUAACUCGGUUCCACUUCUACUAUCCUAUGGUCGUCAUAAGUAUUUUUUUGUCAAAGGGAAAAUAAUCUGUUCCCGAACAGAAUAAUUCAAAAUUUACCCUUGUUCGUAUAUAUUGAGGUUUCGGCAGCAUAGUAGCAACAUAAGUGGAAGUCACAUGAACUCAACAUAAGUGGAAGUCACACGAACCAUCUAUUAGCCAUACAAAUGCAGUACGCUUUCUGACAAAGAAAAAGCAGGACACCUAGCGCAAUAUUCGCAGUAAAUUCCAUGGAAUAUUCCAUAAUCUCACAACAGCUGGCAUAUUAAAAUAGCUAGUUGACAAAAGUAACGGCAAUGACUGCCAACGGCCCAUAUCUCAAGCAUCUAGAUGACUAGACUAGAUACAUGUACAUCAGAAUAGCAUAUAUCUAAAACGGUCAUCUUCUUGUUACUCUUCUUAUCCUCAUUUGAUAAAAUUACAAUAAAGUCCUGAUCUUUUUUUUCUUGGCAACCAAGCAGUGAACAGACAAAGAAAGUAACAAAUAAAAAUUAAUGAAUUACCU